AUGCUCCUCGCGAAAAUAUUAAGGAAAACAAGAAGAGAUCCAGAGAUACUCUUUCAUGUGGCAUUUGGAGUAGGCAUGGGACGUUUGAUAAGAGCAUCAUUAAGCAGGCGAUCUUCAUCGAUCAUCGGAUUCAGUGGGCCACAAUUUAUCCCAGGAAAAGGAAAAUGGGAUUUUCGUUGGCACAAAGUACCAUAUCGUCAUAAUCUACAAAAAAAAGGAAUAGAAAGUUUUGACACGAAGUACCAUGUCAUAAUCUCAUCUCAGAUCUCAACUGACCCUCUUUUGCUUUCUGAUAUGAAGUGCACUUCUUGA
RNAcentral lists this ribosomal RNA (312 nucleotides) under Triticum aestivum (bread wheat). RNAcentral's name for it is "partial small subunit ribosomal RNA". The record is from RNAcentral. Lineage: Eukaryota; Viridiplantae; Streptophyta; Magnoliopsida; Poales; Poaceae.